This 253-nucleotide ribosomal RNA is filed under the name uncultured bacterium. RNAcentral's name for it is "partial 16S ribosomal RNA". It matches the Rfam family "Bacterial small subunit ribosomal RNA", at positions 524 to 776 of the family's 1533-position model. The record is from RNAcentral.
UACGGAGGGUGCAAGCGUUAUCCGGAUUCACUGGGUUUAAAGGGUGCGUAGGCGGGCAUUUAAGUCAGUGGUGAAAUACCUGAGCUUAACUUGGGAACUGCCAUUGAUACUAUUUGUCUUGAAUGUCGUGGAGGUUAGCGGAAUAUGUCAUGUAGCGGUGAAAUGCUUAGAUAUGACAUAGAACACCUAUUGCGAAGGCAGCUAACUACGCGAAUAUUGACGCUGAGGCACGAAAGCGUGGGGAGCAAAAGGG